GCUUGUCUCAAAGAUUAAGCCAUGCAUGUUCAAGUAUAGCAAGUGUACAGUGAAACUGCGAAUGGCUCAUUAAAACAGUUAUAGUUUAUUUGAUAAUCGAAUUUUACAUGGAUAACCGUGGUAAUUCUAGAGCUAAUACAUGCUGUUUAGCCUGACUUCUAGGAAGGGCUGUAUUUAUUAGAUAACAAACCAAUAUUCCUCGUGUCUAUUGUGAUGACUCAUAAUAACUGAUCGAAUCGCAUGGGCUUUGCCCGCGAUACAUCAUUCAAGUUUCUGCCCCAUCAGCUUUCGAUGGUAGUGUAUUGGACUACCAUGGCUUUAACGGGUAACGGAGGAUUAGGGUUCGAUUCCGGAGAGGGAGCCUGAGAAACGGCUACCACAUCUAAGGAAGGCAGCAGG
Molecule: ribosomal RNA, 399 nt
Filed under: uncultured Halteriidae
Lineage: Eukaryota; Ciliophora; Spirotrichea; Sporadotrichida; Halteriidae
Description: partial small subunit ribosomal RNA
Rfam family: Eukaryotic small subunit ribosomal RNA
Source: RNAcentral